Molecule: ribosomal RNA, 406 nt
Filed under: uncultured bacterium
Lineage: Bacteria
Description: partial 16S ribosomal RNA
Rfam family: Bacterial small subunit ribosomal RNA
Source: RNAcentral
AUUGAACGCUGGCGGCAGGCCUAACACAUGCAAGUCGAACGAGUGGCGGACGGGUGAGUAAUGUCUGGGAAACUGCCUGAUGGAGGGGGAUAACUACUGGAAUCGGUAGCUAAUACCGCAUACCAUCGGAUGUCCACAGAUGGGAUUAGAUAGUAGGUGGGGUAAAGGCUCACCUAGGCGACGAUCCAUAGCUGGUCUGAGAGGAUGACCAGCAACACUGGAACUGAGACACGGUCCAGCCUCCUACGGGAGGCAGCGGUGGGGAGUAUUGCACAAUGGGCGCUAGCCUGAGGCAGCCAUGCCGCGUGUAUGAAGAAGGCCUUCGGGUUGUAAAGUACUUUCAGCGGGGAGGCGUUACCCGCAGAAGAAGCACCGGCUAACUCCGUGCCAGCAGCCGCGGUAAUAC